UUUUAAUAAAAAUAAAUAAAGCGUCGAAUGAUUGAUAAGGUAACAUCGCAAUACUCAAACUCUUUCAGAUAUUCAGGAAAAACACGCAAAAAGACGGAUACAUUAAAUGAAUGGCCAGUUUAAUUCCUCUUUCAUAUAUAACUUGAAUUACAUGAACUUGGAUUAACUUUAGUCCAUCUUAAUAUCUCUUGUUUAAGAAAUACUUAAUUUUCUGUCAAUUAUACAAAAAAAAGAAUAGGUUCUUAAUUGAUCACUUGAUUGAUUCUCAACAUUACAUCAUUAUUAAAAUUGAAAUCUACCAAGCAUAUCUUGAUAUUAAAUAAAUAAAUAAAUCCAUGUAAUCAAGGAUCAAAAAUGGAAACAAUACUAUAUCAUCCCCAAUCAAUACACAUAGGAGUAUUUGAAUAAGAAACUUGUAUAUUCUGGAAUCGAGCUUGGAAUUAAUAAAUUGAUCAUUUCCAUAAAUGAAGAGUUAUCUUCUUUCAAAUAUUAAACAGGCUUUCAAAAAAUUCAGUUAUUAUUGCACAUACCUAGUUAGUUUCUG
RNAcentral lists this non-coding RNA (544 nucleotides) under Cryptosporidium parvum. The record is from RNAcentral. Lineage: Eukaryota; Apicomplexa; Conoidasida; Eucoccidiorida; Cryptosporidiidae.